Molecule: microRNA precursor, 84 nt
Organism: Pan troglodytes (chimpanzee)
Lineage: Eukaryota; Metazoa; Chordata; Mammalia; Primates; Hominidae
Rfam family: mir-548 microRNA precursor family
Source: Rfam
UAUUAGGUUGGUGCGAAAGUAAUGGUGGGUUUUGCCUUUAAAACUAAUGGCAAAACCCACAAUUACUUUUGCACCAACCUAAUC